UAAUCCAGCAUCUUUUGAUUGAGACUUUGGUAAAUGUGCACCAAAGCUUGGGGACUGAUAUAGUGCACACGCGUGAGUAUGUUUUGGGAAUGUUAAAAUGAUUCUAUUUAAUUAUGAACCUUUUCAAGUUGAAACUUAGUGCGGUGCUGUAUGCAAAAAGAGGUUCCUUCUGUAACCAUGCCAGAUGCAGUUAGGAUGGUGCUGGUACAUCCUGAGGUUUUCUUGGUGUAUUAUGAUCUUUGAAGAACUGAAAUUAGUGAUGCUAAGAGGUUUCCUGAAAAUUAGACUUUAACAUUGGUAAUUCUUCUUUAACAAUCUGUAUAGUUCCUGAUCAUAUGAAAUUAGUUAACAUAGGUGCUAGCACACUUGCAUUAGCUUCUUCCUCAAACUAAUUUGUAAUGAAGAUGUAUUUUAAUUUGACGUUAAUUUUGGUGUUUAUAAUUUAACUUUACAAAUUGAAAGCCACCUUUAUUUCAAAUGCAAACCUCUCCAAAUG
RNAcentral lists this unclassified non-coding RNA (496 nucleotides) under Hevea brasiliensis (rubber tree). The record is from RNAcentral. Lineage: Eukaryota; Viridiplantae; Streptophyta; Magnoliopsida; Malpighiales; Euphorbiaceae.